This 963-nucleotide ribosomal RNA is filed under the name Rhodoglobus sp. G03 118-7. Its description in RNAcentral is "bacterial SSU rRNA". It matches the Rfam family "Bacterial small subunit ribosomal RNA", at positions 94 to 1070 of the family's 1533-position model. The record is from RNAcentral. Lineage: Bacteria; Bacillati; Actinomycetota; Actinomycetes; Micrococcales; Microbacteriaceae.
AGUGGCGAACGGGUGAGUAACACGUGAGUAACCUGCCCUUGACUCUGGGAUAAGCACUGGAAACGGUGUCUAAUACCGGAUACGAGCUUCAGCCGCAUGGCUAGGAGCUGGAAAGAAUUUUGGUCAAGGAUGGACUCGCGGCCUAUCAGCUAGUUGGUGAGGUAACGGCCCACCAAGGCGACGACGGGUAGCCGGCCUGAGAGGGUGACCGGCCACACUGGGACUGAGACACGGCCCAGACUCCUACGGGAGGCAGCAGUGGGGAAUAUUGCACAAUGGGCGAAAGCCUGAUGCAGCAACGCCGCGUGAGGGACGACGGCCUUCGGGUUGUAAACCUCUUUUAGUAGGGAAGAAGCGAAAGUGACGGUACCUGCAGAAAAAGCACCGGCUAACUACGUGCCAGCAGCCGCGGUAAUACGUAGGGUGCAAGCGUUGUCCGGAAUUAUUGGGCGUAAAGAGCUCGUAGGCGGUUUGUCGCGUCUGCUGUGAAAACCCGAGGCUCAACCUCGGGCCUGCAGUGGGUACGGGCAGACUAGAGUGCGGUGGGGGAGAUUGGAAUUCCUGGUGUAGCGGUGGAAUGCGCAGAUAUCAGGAGGAACACCGAUGGCGAAGGCAGAUCUCUGGGCCGUAACUGACGCUGAGGAGCGAAAGCAUGGGGAGCGAACAGGAUUAGAUACCCUGGUAGUCCAUGCCGUAAACGUUGGGAACUAGAUGUAGGGGCCAUUCCACGGUUUCUGUGUCGCAGCUAACGCAUUAAGUUCCCCGCCUGGGGAGUACGGCCGCAAGGCUAAAACUCAAAGGAAUUGACGGGGGCCCGCACAAGCGGCGGAGCAUGCGGAUUAAUUCGAUGCAACGCGAAGAACCUUACCAAGACUUGACAUAUACGAGAACGGGCCAGAAAUGGUCAACUCUUUGGACACUCGUAAACAGGUGGUGCAUGGUUGUCGUCAGCUCGUGUCGUGA